This is a small nuclear RNA of Alexandromys fortis (reed vole), 104 nucleotides long. The record is from RefSeq and is a predicted model, not a curated record. Lineage: Eukaryota; Metazoa; Chordata; Mammalia; Rodentia; Cricetidae.
UCCCUUCCCUCAGCAGUGCAUAAACUAAAAUUGGAAUGAUACAGAGAAGAUAAGCAUAACCCCUGUGCAUUUCACGGUUUCGAAAUGAUGAAAAUGCAGGUCAU